ACUCCUACGGGAGGCAGCAGUGGGGAAUAUUGCGCAAUGGGGGAAACCCUGACGCAGCGACGCCGCGUGAGUGAAGAAGUAUUUCGGUAUGUAAAGCUCUAUCAGCAGGGAAGAAAAUGACGGUACCUGACUAAGAAGCCCCGGCUAACUACGUGCCAGCAGCCGCGGUAAU
Molecule: ribosomal RNA, 172 nt
Filed under: uncultured bacterium
Lineage: Bacteria
Description: partial 16S ribosomal RNA
Rfam family: Bacterial small subunit ribosomal RNA
Source: RNAcentral